This 103-nucleotide small nuclear RNA is filed under the name Marmota marmota marmota (Alpine marmot). The record is from RNAcentral. Lineage: Eukaryota; Metazoa; Chordata; Mammalia; Rodentia; Sciuridae.
UUGCUUCAGCAGCACAUAUACUAUAAUUGGAAUGAUACAGAGAAGAUUAGCAUGGCCCCUGCACAAGAAUGACACACAAAUUCAUGAAGCAUUUCAUAUUUUU